AUUGAACGCUGGCGGCAGGCCUAACACAUGCAAGUCGAACGGCAGCACAGAAGAGCUUGCUCUUUGGGUGGCGAGUGGCGGACGGGUGAGUAAUGUCUGGGAAACUGCCCGAUGGAGGGGGAUAACUACUGGAAACGGUAGCUAAUACCGCAUAACGUCGCAAGACCAAAGUGGGGGACCUUCGGGCCUCACACCAUCGGAUGUGCCCAGAUGGGAUUAGCUAGUAGGUGGGGUAAUGGCUCACCUAGGCGACGAUCCCUAGCUGGUCUGAGAGGAUGCCAAGCCACACGGGAACUGAGACACGGUCCAGACUCCUACGGGGGGCAGCAGUGGGGAAUAUUGCACAAUGGGCGCAAGCCUGAUGCAGCCAUGCCGCGUGUAUGAAGAAGGCCUUCGGGUUGUAAAGUACUUUCAGCGGGGAGGAAGGCGGUGAGGUUAAUAACCUUGCCGAUUGACGUUACCCGCAGAAGAAGCACCGGCUAACUCCGUGCCAGCAGCCGCGGUAA
This 506-nucleotide ribosomal RNA is filed under the name uncultured bacterium. RNAcentral describes it as "partial 16S ribosomal RNA". It matches the Rfam family "Bacterial small subunit ribosomal RNA", at positions 29 to 523 of the family's 1533-position model. The record is from RNAcentral.